UCGUUUGCAGCUAAUGUGACUUAUAACUAAACAAGUUAAAAUAACAGCAUUAAGGAGAGUCGUAAUCCGGAAACGUAUCAUGUGGUAGUAGGAACACAUUAAUCAUAACACUUUCACACAUGUAGAUUCUGAGUUAGUUUUUUUAAAGGUUAUUUUUAUUUAUCAGUACAAUGGAGCCAGACAGAGAACAGAUUUGCAACAGCUUGAUCACCUGGCUGCAGACGCUGGAAUUAUCAGCACCUCAUGAUAACCCAGCUGAACUCAGUGAUGGGAUAGCCAUUGCACAGGGCCUUCAGCAAAUAGCACCAGAAUAUUUCAGUCAAGCCUGGAUGUCCAAGAUCAAGGUGGAAGAUGUUGGAAACUGGCGUUUUAAAGUAACAAACUUAAAAAAAAUAUUGAAAGGAAUUUUGGAAUACAACCUUGAGGUGCUAGGCAUACAGAUUCAAGGCUUCCAGAUGCCUGAUGUGAAUGCAAUAGGAGAACAUAAUGACCCUAUGGAGCUAGGUCGUCUCUUGCAGUUAGUGCUGGGUGUUGCUAUUAACUGUGAACGCAAACAAGAACACAUCCAACGCAUCAUGGGUAUGGGGGAGAUGCAGCAACAAACGAUCAAAUAUGCCAUACAAGAGCUAAUGACGAAAGAAAUAGCAACUGGUGAUGAGGUGGAAUCUGAAGUUCAAGAACAGUUGAAACGCACUAUGGAAGAACUCAGUUCUGUGUUGGAAGGGAAAGAAGAACUACUACAGCGGUGUCAUGAACUGGACAUGCAGGUGGCAUCGUUGCAUGAGGAAAAACUUGGGCUACAAGCAGAAAAUGAAAGACUUCAAGAGCGACUUCAGCACGCAGAGAACAUUGAUGACCCCAGCACGCCUGUAGGAAAGCGCAUGAUGCAGUUCCAACAGCAGAUUGAAGUCCUGCAGGAUGAAAUUUACAAGUUAGAGUCAGGUAAAGAGGAUUACAGAAUAAAAUAUGAUGUUCUACUGAAAGAGUGCAACGAUUUAAAAGACAAGAAUGCAGAACUUACUCAGCUAGCAUCAGAAUCCAGAGCAAUGAAAGAUGAGCUUGAUGUUCUCCGCCAUACGUCAGACAAAGCAACAAAAUAUGAGGCAGCAAUAGAAUCUUACAAGAAGAAAUUAGAGGACAUGAGUGAUCUACGGGUGCAGCUGAAGAUGCUGGAGGAGAAGAACACACACUACAUGCAGCAGCAGAUUGAAAUGGAAGAGGAAAUCAAGCGGUUAAACAACACUAAGCAGCAGCUGGAGUCCUACAAGAGACAAACACUGGAACAGCAAAACCGUUUGACAGAUGAGACUAAGCGUGCAGACAAGUGGGAGUUUGAGUGCAGCAGGCUACAGGAGAGGUUGGCUACACUUCAGCGAGAAAAAGAGCGUGUUGUAGCUGAGAGGGACUCUCUGAAAGAAUUGAAUGAUGAGCUGAAAUGCACACAGCCAACUAUGGCUGGCAUCUCCCUGAGUGAGCAGAUAAGUGAUAUAGGGCCCUCACCACAGCGCAUGCUGUCUUUACCGCCAGAAGUCAAGGAGCAGCUUUUGCGACUGGAGCAUGAGAACAAAUUGCUGAAGAUGAGUGCGGAUGGGAACCAGGAGGAACAAACUCACAACUUACAGUCACAGCUGGAUGAUGCUAAUGCACGCAAGAAUGAACUUGAAACAGAAGUCAGGUUACUGAAUCAGCGCCUGAUAGAGCUGCAGGCACAGGUUGAAGAUCUUCAAGAGCGACAGCAGACAACAGCUUCAGCUUCAUCCACUGAGACAUUGGAGAUGAAGAGGCGAGCAACAGAGCUCACUCAACGGUUGGAAGAACGAGAGUUACAGAUAGCCCAGCGGACAGCACAAGUGGAGAUGCUGAAAGAUAAGCUGAGCAGCAGCGCAGAGACACUAACAGCUGUACAAGAAACUCUGAGACGCAAGGACGAAGAGAUGAGGGCUAUGGAAGAACGUUAUAGGCGAUACCUAGAUAAAGCCAGACAGGUUAUAAAAAGUCUAGAUGCAAGCCAGAGUGCUGAUACAUCAGCAGAAGUGCUAGCUCUCCGACAUCAACUUCAUGAAAAAGAACAAUACAUCACCAGUUUAGAAAAGGACCAGGAAAGAAUGAGAAGCAUUCACAGUGAGGAAGAGUCUUUGAUUGUCACUGCCUGGUACAACCUGGGAAUGCAGCUGCACCGACAGGCAGCUGAAGAGAGACUUGCCAACAGUAACAUGGGGCAGUCCUUUUUAGCACGCCAGAGGCAAAUGCAGACUCGCCGUGUCCCAGCUAUGAGUACUUUACACAACAGCAGCAAUAGCACUGUACUGCACUAACUGGCUGGUCAGGAGCAUCACUGGAGGCUGCAUAUAGCAGCCCUGGUGAAUAACUGGCCUGUGUAUGUCUAUAUGUAUGAAGUAACAGGUCAGUGGACAUUGCACGUUCUGAAGUCCCCCAUGGGAGUCUGAUGUUAGGGGCUACAAUAGCAGAUUCAUCUCCUAUAUACCUUCCUCUGCAGCAUCCAAGAAUGGAAUUACAUUUUUCACCUGUA
Molecule: unclassified non-coding RNA, 2530 nt
Filed under: Pomacea canaliculata
Lineage: Eukaryota; Metazoa; Mollusca; Gastropoda; Architaenioglossa; Ampullariidae
Description: protein Hook homolog 3-like, transcript variant X3
Source: RNAcentral